CUACGGGUAUCAGCAGUGGGGAAUAUUGGACAAUGGGCGAAAGCCUGAUCCAGCCAUGCCGCGUGUGUGAAGAAGGCCUUCGGGUUGUAAAGCACUUUCAGUGGGGAAGAAAGCCUUGGGGCUAAUACCCUCGAGGAAGGACAUCACCCACAGAAGAAGCACCGGCUAACUCCGUGCCAGCAGCCGCGGUAAUACGGAGGGUGCGAGCGUUAAUCGGAAUUACUGGGCGUAAAGCGCGCGUAGGCGGUCUGAUAAGCCGGUUGUGAAAGCCCCGGGCUCAACCUGGGAACGGCAUCCGGAACUGUCAGGCUAGAGUGCAGGAGAGGAAGGUAGAAUUCCCGGUGUAGCGGUGAAAUGCGUAGAGAUCGGGAGGAAUACCAGUGGCGAAGGCGGCCUUCUGGACUGACACUGACGCUGAGGUGCGAAAGCGUGGGUAGCAAACAGGAUUAGAUACCCCAGUAGUC
This 464-nucleotide ribosomal RNA is filed under the name Vreelandella stevensii. RNAcentral describes it as "partial 16S ribosomal RNA". It matches the Rfam family "Bacterial small subunit ribosomal RNA", at positions 339 to 795 of the family's 1533-position model. The record is from RNAcentral. Lineage: Bacteria; Pseudomonadati; Pseudomonadota; Gammaproteobacteria; Oceanospirillales; Halomonadaceae.